Molecule: long non-coding RNA, 148 nt
Organism: Athene cunicularia (burrowing owl)
Lineage: Eukaryota; Metazoa; Chordata; Aves; Strigiformes; Strigidae
Exons: 3
Source: RefSeq, a predicted model, not a curated record
UGUCUCCAUUGUUCUUUGUUGUGUGUGAUAUAUCACAGAAUCGCAGAACCAUCUAGGUUGAAAAAGACCUUGCAGAUCAUCCAGUCCAACCAUUAACCUAACAGUGACAGUUCCCAACUACACCAGAUCCCUCAGCAUUGUGUCAACC